AAGGUGUCCUCUUGCCUCAGCCUCCCAAAGUGCUGAGAUUACAGGUGUGAGCCACCGUGUCUGGCCAUACAUACAUACGUUCACGAGACACCCGAAACUGCUUAUUUUAUGGCAGCCUAACCACAUCACACCCAGCAUCUCACUUGAGACAAAUCUGUCGUCUGAGCAUAUUGAAGCCUUGCUGUGACUCGACUGGUUGAAGGACUUGCGAAAUUGCACGGUUCUGAAGAGACAACCCGAGGAACGAGGAUCCAGCAAGAAAUCCCCCCAAACUUGAUGGAAUUCUUUCUCCACCACUGCUGCAAGAGGACCAGAUCUCCCUCUGCCAACAGAUGGGGCGGGGUAACACUGGAAAUAUGUUACAGGCCAGGUUCAGAUGCCACAAGAGUAGCCUCAAGAUUUUGCACAUAACUUCGGAAGAAACCCCAGCAUAAUAGAAAGGUCCAACAGUUGAAACUAUGCAUUCCAAGUAGAAUCUGGUUGGAAUAAAAGGAUCUGAACCAGCUUUAAUCAUCAAAGGAAAAAUAUGCUGUUUAUAAUAUUGAAAUAAAAAUAGGGAAGAUUUCAAUUCUUUGGGAUAAUUACCCAGAAGUGGAAUUGCUGGAUCAUAUGGUAAUUGUAUUUUUAAUUGAGAAACCUCCAUACUGUUGUCCACAGCAUUAUACUAUAUUGCACUCCCAUCGGUGGUGUGCAAAGAUUCCAAUUUCUCCAUAUCUGCAUUAACACUUGUCUUUUUUUUAAAUCACUGUUGUUUUGAUUUGUAGUUCUUUGAUGACUAGGGGCAUUGGGCAUUUUUUCAUAUACCUGAUGGUCAUUUGUAUGUCUUCAUUGGAAAAAUGUCUUUUCAAGUCCUUAAUCCAGUUUUUAAUCAGGUCAUUCAUUUUUUUUUCUUUUUCUAUUGCCUUGUAGGAGAGCCUUCUAAAUAUUGGAGAUGACCCUUUAUCAGAUAUAUGUGUUUCAAAUAUUUUUUCCCAUUCCAUUGGUUGUCUUUUCACUCUGCCAAUUGUUUCCUUUGCUAUGCAUAAGCUUUUUAGUUUGAUAUAGUACCAUUUGUUUAUUUUGUUUUUGUUACCAGAAUUAAAAUCAGGAUCCAAAGAGAUAUUGACAUUCUCAUGUCUGUUGCAGCGCUAUUAAUAACCAAGAUGUAGAAACAACUAAAGGUCCAUCCACAAAUGAAUAGAUAGAGAAAAUGUGGUGCACACAUACAAUGGAAUGCUAGUCAGCCUUUACAAAGGAGUAAAUUCUGCAAUAUGUCACAACAUGAAUGAACUUUGAGGACGUUAUGUUAAAUGGAAUAAGCCAGUCACAGAAAGAUGAAUACUGCAGGGUUCCAAUUACAUGAGGUAUCUCGAACAGUCAAAUUUAUAGGAUCAAACAGUGGAAUGGUGGUUGUCAGGGCAGGGGAAAGGGAAAAUAGAGUUACCAAUCAGUUAAGCAAGAUGAAUAAGCUUCAGAGAUCAGCUACACAACACUGUCUUUAUAAUCAACAAUAAUAUGCUAUACACUUAAAAUUUGUUAACAGGGUAGAACUUAUUUAUGUUAUGUGUUCUUACCACAAGAAAAUAAAACUUUUUUUUUCUUUUGAGAUGGA
This 1591-nucleotide long non-coding RNA is filed under the name Homo sapiens (human). Its description in RNAcentral is "HSALNT0324362". The record is from RNAcentral. Lineage: Eukaryota; Metazoa; Chordata; Mammalia; Primates; Hominidae.